CUUAAGUUUGUAAUUGCUCUUAUCUUGGCUGUGACGGUCUGUACUUUGGCAGCGCCGGCUCCAGAACCCAAGCCAGAUCCAAAAGCUCAGCUUCUGGCAGCUGCUCCAUUAGGCUAUGCAGCAUAUCCCUACGCAUACGCUAGCUACGUUUCCCCGUACAGCAGUGUUCUGGCUCCAUACACCACUUACGCAUAUCCUAGUCUAGCUUACAGCUACAACUACCCUUAUGCGAUCGUGUAAAAAGCAG
Molecule: long non-coding RNA, 247 nt
Organism: Anopheles maculipalpis
Lineage: Eukaryota; Metazoa; Arthropoda; Insecta; Diptera; Culicidae
Exons: 3
Source: RefSeq, a predicted model, not a curated record